Long non-coding RNA from Sapajus apella (tufted capuchin), 3560 nucleotides. RefSeq lists it as uncharacterized. The transcript is spliced from 6 exons. NCBI's taxonomy places the organism in Eukaryota, Metazoa, Chordata, Mammalia, Primates, Cebidae. The record is from RefSeq and is a predicted model, not a curated record.
UGUCACCUUUGUCAUUUCUAUUGUACCUCUUUAGAUUUUCUCUCUUUUUAGUCUGUUAAUCUAGCUCAUGAUCCAUUCAUCUUGUUUAUCAUUUCAAACAAAUUUGGCUUCAUAUAUCAUUUGUAUGAAUUUUGAGGUCUCAAUUUCAUCCAAUUCUGGUCUGGUUUUAGGUAUUUCUUUUCUUCUGCUAGUUUUGGUGUGAGUUUAUUGUUCUUUUACUUACUGUAAGUUCAACUGAGAUCUUUUUAACUUCUUGAGGUAGGCAUUUAGCACUAUAAACUUUCUUCUUAACACUGCUUUUGCCACAUCCUAGAGAUUUUGGCAUAUUGUGUUUCUGUUUUCAUUUAUUUCAAAGAAUUUUUUAUUUCUGCCUUAAUUUUAUUGUUUACCUAAAAGUCAUUCAGGAACAAGCUGUUUAGUUUCCAUGCAAUUGUGUAGUUUUCAUAGAUAUUCCUGGUAUUGAUUUCCAUUUUUAUUCCACUGUGCUCUAAGAGUAUGGUUGCUAUGAUUUUGAUUUUUUAAAAACUUAUUGAGACUUGCUUUAUGGCCAAGCAUGUGGUUGAUCUGAAUAUGUUUCAUGUCCUGAUGAGAAUGUAUAUUCUGUGAUUCAUAAGUGGCGCAUUCUUUAGACAUCCAAUUGAUCAAGUAUCAAAUUUAAGUCCUGAAUUUUUUUGUUAGUUUUCUGCCUAAGGGAUCUGUCUAAUGCAGUCAGUGGGGUAUUGGAGUUUACCAGUAUUAUUGUGUAGCUAAGUCUUUUUGUCGGUUGAGAAGUACUUGUUAGGUCACCAGGAAACCUGCAAUUCCAAGGGGAUCUUCUGUUCCUCUGAGCUUGGCAAAAUUGGAGUGAAUUGUAGGGUAUGUCUUAGGUGGCCUGGUGAUACACUGGGUCAAAGGCAGAGGAUUCUGGGGCAGGGCUGUGGUGUCACAAGUGUGCAGUUGGUAUACCCUCAAGGACCCGGCUUUUUAGCCCAGCAGGUGACUGUUGAGUCUGCCCAGCUGUCACUUUCCCAACUGGUUCUUCCUCCAAUUUCUGCCCCAGGAGCUAGUCAAACCAGCUAGUUUUGUUCCAAGCCUUCUGUGCCCAGAUUGCUAGGCUGUUCCAGCUGUUCUGCAUCAUGGGGAUCCCUCAGGCAGAAGCUGAACUGGCCAACAGGCAACACCUUUCCCACACUGGUCUUGUAAAGGGAGAGACACUUACUUUCCAUAUCAGCACCUACACCCUUACCCCACUUUUCUCUUUGUUCUAGUAGUGAGGGCUUCUCUCCUGCUCAAGCUCUGGCUGCAGAUCUUAGCUCAACAACCCUGGGCAGUGUGCUUGAACCCUGGAAAUUUGGGCUUAUGACUUUGUCCUCUGGCUCCAUGGACAAAGUCAUUCACCAGCUGUGCUGGGGGACUGAACUGCUCACAGUCUGCCAGGAAAACACUUAGGUGGGGCACUCAGGAGGCUGUGCUGUGUGUUCCCACUUUCAGGAGCAGUCUGGCAGAUGGCCUUGGGAGGGGUCAGAGUCAAGGGAGCACACGGAGCAGAUGCACCACAAUCCUUUGCAAAAGAGUUCUUGUCUCUCUGGCCUGGCAGUUAGCAGUGGCUACCAUCACUCAGAGCAAGAUGGAAAAGAAUGGGGGAUGAGUGCCUGUGGCCAUGUUUUGCUGCAGCUACCCCAUAGGCUGUGAAACCUUCUGGGCUCUGUGCAGGUUUGAGCUCUGCCUCUAUCUAAUUUCCAAGGAGUUCCCCUUGCCAAUUCAAAUGUCUAGGGGGGUAUCAGAUUUCUUGUAGCUAGGAUCUCAGACGCCUGUGAAGGUAGUAUGGUGCCCCAGAGUUCCUUCACUCACCCUUUCCUGAGUGCCUGUUCCGGACCAGAAGCUGAUCCUGGUGCUUGAUGACUCCUUGCAGGCAUCCCAACUUCCUCUCUCUUCAACCUCAAUGACCAUGUCAUCUCUGUCUUGACUUUCAGUGUUUUCUCUCAAAAGAUCUGUUCAGAGGGUGAUGGCUUACUCUAUAUUUUGAUUUCUUUAGAUGGGAGGGUAAGGGGCUUACUCUAUAUUUUGAUUUUUCUGGCUGCAUCUAAUUGGCCAUCUUGUCACUGCCUUUGGAUUUCUGCCUUUAUCUAAAAAAAGAUGGGAUGCCAUUAAAGUGAGUUAAGCUGAAUAGUGCUAAGAUUUUUGUGUUGAAAAAAUCAUCCUUGUUGCUUAUGUGGAGUAGGCCGAAAAGAUGCAAGAAGAUAAAUCAGAAGGAUCAUUUGAUAGAUCCAGGAAAGGCAUAAUGCUGGCUCAGACCACUGUGGUAGUGGUGGAGAUAGCUAGAAACGGUUGGAUUCAAGAUAAAUUUUGAAAUAAGAGUAAAUAGAACUUGCUGAUUAAUUGGAAAUGAAGGAUAACACUUUCCUCAAAUCUCUGACCUUCCACCUCCUGGAUCACUUUUAGAAGAUGAUCUCAUAUACUGUCUUACUAAGAAAAUAGAAGCCAUCUGUCAAGAACUCCCUAAUUUACCUGUCAAUAAACAUGAACUUAUGAGGGGCUUAGAGGAAGUGAUGUCUUUAGGGAACAGUCAGAUUUCAGUUAAAGCAAGGGAGCAGAGUGAGAGCUCAGAGAAGUUUUAAGGACAUAGGGGAGUCUUCUAGACAAGUAUUGGCUCUUCUAUUGAGCCUUUUACUGAGGUUUGGAAGGCAGUGAAGGGGAGAGGACUGAUGUGAAAAAAGCAUAUGAAAAGAGUUAAGUUGAUGAUAGUGAGAUAGAGGAUAGAUGACCAUUAAAUUUGUCAUACAAUGGAAGCAUGGGCGAAAGCCAUAGUGAAUUUCUUUGAGGGAGGCAGACAGUGGGAGGUGGCAAGAGAAUUUGACCAGGGUGGUUAUAGACAUAGACAUUGGCAACCUACAUGUGAGAAGGUUUGGACAAUGCUGGAUAUAGAAACUGAAGACUCACAUGCUUCAGGGCCUGGUGGAUAAGAAAACCACAGAAGACUGGUAUCAAGCAAUGUGCAUAGCUCCUUUGGAUUGUUUUGGAUCUCCUCCAGGAACUUACCUGUAGCAAAGAGUUUGACUCUUUUGGUCAACAAUAACUUGGCACCCAAACGUGUUGAUUCAGAGAAGGCUCAGGACCCCAAAGGAAUUACCCAAAGUUGGAGCUAAGGUACAAGCAGAGGCCCAUUGAAAGCCUCCCCAACUUCAAGCUUCUCAUUCAGUGGCACUGGAAACUUUCUAAUUAUGUGAGGAGCUGCUAGAUUCUACAGUGCCGGAUAGACAGCUCCCAUGAGCUGUUUGGCUUGUGAAUGGCAUUUCCAAGGAAACCAAAAUUAUGACAUUCUGAAGACCAGAGAUGCUAAUCUCCCUCAUUUGGCAUCCCACUGGCCCAGAUCUGUUUUCCACUGCAAAUGCUCUGCUCCCAAAACUAUACAAGCACUCCCCCUUUAGGCCCAGGAAUGGUCAUAGAAGAGGCUUGCUAAAAUUGAUAUCCUUGAGUUCUAUCAAUUCUGGGACAGAGAACAAAUUGUCUCGCCUGCAAGGAUGGAGGGACAGUGAGGAAUUUGCCAAGACAGAGUCUUGUUUCAUCACCAGGUGCCACGC